This 496-nucleotide ribosomal RNA is filed under the name uncultured bacterium. RNAcentral's name for it is "partial 16S ribosomal RNA". It matches the Rfam family "Bacterial small subunit ribosomal RNA", at positions 28 to 507 of the family's 1533-position model. The record is from RNAcentral.
GAUGAACGCUGGGGCGUGCCUAAUACAUGCAAGUCGCGCGAACAGACGAGGAGCUUGCUCCUCUGACGUUAGCGGCGGACGGGUGAGUAACACGUGGAUAACCUACCUAUAAGACUGGGAUAACUUCGGGAAACCGGAGCUAAUACCGGAUAAUAUAUUGAACCGCAUGGUUCAAUAGUGAAAGACGGUUUUGCUGUCACUUAUAGAUGGAUCCGCGCCGCAUUAGCUAGUUGGUAAGGUAACGGCUUACCAAGGCGACGAUGCGUAGCCGACCUGAGAGGGUGAUCGGCCACACUGGAACUGAGACACGGUCCAGACCCCUACGGGAGGCAGCAGUAGGGAAUCUUCCGCAAUGGGCGAAAGCCUGACGGAGCAACGCCGCGUGAGUGAUGAAGGUCUUCGGAUCGUAAAACUCUGUUAUUAGGGAAGAACAAAUGUGUAAGUAACUAUGCACGUCUUGACGGUACCUAAUCAGAAAGCCACGGCUAACUACGUG